This 492-nucleotide ribosomal RNA is filed under the name uncultured bacterium. RNAcentral describes it as "partial 16S ribosomal RNA". It matches the Rfam family "Bacterial small subunit ribosomal RNA", at positions 29 to 507 of the family's 1533-position model. The record is from RNAcentral.
AGUGAACGCUGGCGGUAGGCCUAACACAUGCAAGUCGAACGGCAGCACAGUAAGAGCUUGCUCUUACGGGUGGCGAGUGGCGGACGGGUGAGGAAUACAUCGGAAUCUACUUUUUCGUGGGGGAUAACGUAGGGAAACUUACGCUAAUACCGCAUACGACCUACGGGUGAAAGCAGGGGAUCUUCGGACCUUGCGCGAUUGAAUGAGCCGAUGUCGGAUUAGCUAGUUGGCGGGGUAAAGGCCCACCAAGGCGACGAUCCGUAGCUGGUCUGAGAGGAUGAUCAGCCACACUGGAGCUGAGACAGAGUCCAGACUCCUACGGGAGGCAGCAGUGGGGAAUAUUGGACAAUGGGCGCAAGCCUGAUCCAGCCAUACCGCGUGGGUGAAGAAGGCCUUCGGGUUGUAAAGCCCUUUUGUUGGGAAAGAAAAGCAGCAGGUUAAUACCCCGCUGUUCUGACGGUACCCAAAGAAUAAGCACCGGCUAACUUCGUG